Molecule: ribosomal RNA, 486 nt
Filed under: uncultured bacterium
Lineage: Bacteria
Description: partial 16S ribosomal RNA
Rfam family: Bacterial small subunit ribosomal RNA
Source: RNAcentral
AUUGAACGCUGGCGACAUGCCUUACACAUGCAAGUCGAACGGCAGCACGGGUGCUUGCACCUGGUGGCGAGUGGCGAACGGGUGAGUAAUACAUCGGAACAUGUCCUGUAGUGGGGGAUAGCCCGGCGAAAGCCGGAUUAAUACCGCAUACGAUCUACGGCUGAAAGCGGGGGACCUUCGGGCCUCGCGCUAUAGGGUUGGCCGAUGGCUGAUUAGCUAGUUGGUGGGGUAAAGGCCUACCAAGGCGACGAUCAGUAGCUGGUCUGAGAGGACGACCAGUCACACUGGGACUGAGACACGGCCCAGACUCCUACGGGAGGCAGCAGUGGGGAAUUUUGGACAAUGGGCGAAAGCCUGAUCCAGCAAUGCCGCGUGUGUGAAGAAGGCCUUCGGGUUGUAAAGCACUUUUGUCCGGAAAGAAAUCCUUGGCCCUAAUACGGUCGGGGGAUGACGGUACCGGAAGAAUAAGCACCGGCUAACUACGUG